AAGCGCUUGCAGCCAGACUUGCCUGUAGUUGCUCAUCCGAGCUCCCGCUCGGUGCACUCUUCUAUGGGCAGGCCAGCAUCAGUCCGGGCGGUCGGAUAAAGGCUUCGGGAAUGUAGCUCCCCUCGGGGAGUGUUAUAGCCCGGAGUGCCAUGCGACCAGCCUGGACUGAGGUCCGCGCAUCUGCUAGGAUGCUGGCGUAAUGGCUGUAAGCGG
Molecule: ribosomal RNA, 213 nt
Filed under: Atrocalyx bambusae
Lineage: Eukaryota; Fungi; Ascomycota; Dothideomycetes; Pleosporales; Lophiotremataceae
Description: partial large subunit ribosomal RNA
Source: RNAcentral